Molecule: long non-coding RNA, 417 nt
Filed under: Rattus norvegicus (Norway rat)
Lineage: Eukaryota; Metazoa; Chordata; Mammalia; Rodentia; Muridae
Description: long non-coding RNA NONRATT017570
Source: RNAcentral
CCUCUCCCGAGCUGGGAUGUGUCCUGGAUACUGAUGCUGUUGUUCGCAGCAGGCCAAGGGGUCACCAUCAUAGCCCUCAGCAUAGUGAUCUGGAGGCAUCAGAGGGCCCAGGGGACUCAGGACAGAGAACCCUCGAUUCCCCAUUUCAAGCCUGAAGUUCAGGUCUAUGAGAACAUCCACUUGGCCCGCCUUAGCCCACCCACCCACAAGACCAGGUGAUCUCGGAGAAACUUGCCUCUGGAAGCCUGACCAACAGUCCCCUGUCUCUGGCACCUGGUCCCUGAAGAAUUCCCUGGAAACCUUGGUGAAGGGGUGUGACUGAGGGUGCGACUCCUACUAGGCUUCCAACAGCCACCAGGCUGGAGGGGCCAGGUCAACAUAAGGAAGGGAGUAACAUCAUUCUGUGACGUCACCUAC